This 504-nucleotide ribosomal RNA is filed under the name uncultured Geobacter sp. RNAcentral describes it as "bacterial SSU rRNA". It matches the Rfam family "Bacterial small subunit ribosomal RNA", at positions 335 to 831 of the family's 1533-position model. The record is from RNAcentral. Lineage: Bacteria; Pseudomonadati; Thermodesulfobacteriota; Desulfuromonadia; Geobacterales; Geobacteraceae.
ACUCCUACGGGAGGCAGCAGUGGGGAAUUUUGCGCAAUGGGGGAAACCCUGACGCAGCAACGCCGCGUGAGUGAUGAAGGCCCUUGGGUCGUAAAGCUCUGACAGAGGGAAAGAAAUGUGGGUGGCUAAUAUCCAUUCCACUUGACGGUACCCUCAAAGGAAGCACCGGCUAACUCCGUGCCAGCAGCCGCGGUAAUACGGAGGGUGCGAGCGUUGUUCGGAUUUAUUGGGCGUAAAGCGCGUGUAGGCGGUUUUAUAAGUCUGAUGUGAAAGCCCCGGGCUCAACCUGGGAAGUGCAUUGGAUACUGUAAGACUUGAAUACGGGAGAGGGCAGUGGAAUUCCUGGUGUAGGAGUGAAAUCCGUAGAUAUCAGGAGGAGCACCGGUGGCGAAGGCGGCUGCCUGGACCGAUAUUGACGCUGAGACGCGAAAGCGUGGGUAGCAAACAGGAUUAGAUACCCUGGUAGUCCACGCCGUAAACGAUGAGAACUAGGUGUUGCGGGUA